RNAcentral lists this ribosomal RNA (1477 nucleotides) under uncultured bacterium. RNAcentral's name for it is "16S ribosomal RNA". It matches the Rfam family "Bacterial small subunit ribosomal RNA". The record is from RNAcentral.
GACGAACGCUGGCGGCGUGCUUAACACAUGCAAGUCGAACGGAAAGGCCCUGCUUUUGUGGGGUGCUCGAGUGGCGAACGGGUGAGUAACACGUGAGUAACCUGCCCUUGACUUUGGGAUAACUUCAGGAAACUGGGGCUAAUACCGGAUAGGAGCUCCUGCUGCAUGGUGGGGGUUGGAAAGUUUCGGCGGUUGGGGAUGGACUCGCGGCUUAUCAGCUUGUUGGUGGGGUAGUGGCUUACCAAGGCUUUGACGGGUAGCCGGCCUGAGAGGGUGACCGGCCACAUUGGGACUGAGAUACGGCCCAGACUCCUACGGGAGGCAGCAGUGGGGAAUAUUGCACAAUGGGCGGAAGCCUGAUGCAGCAACGCCGCGUGCGGGAUGACGGCCUUCGGGUUGUAAACCGCUUUCGCCUGUGACGAAGCGUGAGUGACGGUAAUGGGUAAAGAAGCACCGGCUAACUACGUGCCAGCAGCCGCGGUGAUACGUAGGGUGCGAGCGUUGUCCGGAUUUAUUGGGCGUAAAGGGCUCGUAGGUGGUUGAUCGCGUCGGAAGUGUAAUCUUGGGGCUUAACCCUGAGCGUGCUUUCGAUACGGGUUGACUUGAGGAAGGUAGGGGAGAAUGGAAUUCCUGGUGGAGCGGUGGAAUGCGCAGAUAUCAGGAGGAACACCAGUGGCGAAGGCGGUUCUCUGGGCCUUUCCUGACGCUGAGGAGCGAAAGCGUGGGGAGCGAACAGGCUUAGAUACCCUGGUAGUCCACGCUGUAAACGGUGGGUACUAGGUGUGGGGUCCAUUCCACGGGUUCCGUGCCGUAGCUAACGCUUUAAGUACCCCGCCUGGGGAGUACGGCCGCAAGGCUAAAACUCAAAGGAAUUGACGGGGCCCCGCACAAGCGGCGGAGCAUGCGGAUUAAUUCGAUGCAACGCGUAGAACCUUACCUGGGUUUGACAUGGAUCGGGAGUGCUCAGAGAUGGGUUUGCCUCUUUUGGGGUCGGUUCACAGGUGGUGCAUGGCUGUCGUCAGCUCGUGUCGUGAGAUGUUGGGUUAAGUCCCGCAACGAGCGCAACCCUUGUUCACUGUUGCCAGCACGUUAUGGUGGGGACUCAGUGGAGACCGCCGGGGUCAACUCGGAGGAAGGUGGGGAUGACGUCAAGUCAUCAUGCCCCUUAUGUCCAGGGCUUCACGCAUGCUACAAUGGCUGGUACAGAGAGUGGCGAGCCUGUGAGGGUGAGCGAAUCUCGGAAAGCCGGUCUCAGUUCGGAUUGGGGUCUGCAACUCGACCUCAUGAAGUCGGAGUCGCUAGUAAUCGCAGAUCAGCAACGCUGCGGUGAAUACGUUCCCGGGGCUUGUACACACCGCCCGUCAAGUCAUGAAAGUUGGUAACACCCGAAGCCGGUGGCCUAACCGUUGUGGGGGAGCCGUCGAAGGUGGGACUGGUGAUUAGGACUAAGUCGUAACAAGGUAGCCGUACCGGAAGG